RNAcentral lists this unclassified non-coding RNA (1057 nucleotides) under Athalia rosae (coleseed sawfly). RNAcentral's name for it is "misc RNA ENSAEAG00005003624.1". The record is from RNAcentral. Lineage: Eukaryota; Metazoa; Arthropoda; Insecta; Hymenoptera; Athaliidae.
UGCAAUCAUACUCUCACUUUUCUCUAUUGACAUAAGACCUUCAAAGCUUUAAAGUAUGCAUAUUUUAUGUCAUACUCCAUAUCGUACCAAUAAUUCAAGGCAAUACAAGCAUGGCUUUGUCUCACAUGAUGAAACCAUAAAGAAGGUAGAUAAAGCAAAUCACCUUUGCGAACUGUCACCCGAAGUGUUGUCACAUUUUUAUACCCAGGAUAUCUAAAAUUAUGGACAAUCAAUUGUAAAAUCCAAGUAUUCAUCAAUUAUCUUCCAAGCAUCACACAACGAACCUCGCAUAAUCUGGAUUCAAGGGAUCGAUAGAUACCCAAGGCAAUACCGUACCAAUCGGUUCAAUCAACCAUCGACCAGGUUGAACUUCUCGAUAAUUCGCAGAGGGAUAAUUUUUAUAAGGAAUCCAUGGGAGAUCUGUUGGUGGAUGCAAAAGAAAUUCCUUCUCACCAGAUAUUACGCAGUAUAUGUUCUCGUACGGAUCCUUAUGCACUGGAAUAUAAAUUUGUUGCACUUUCAAGUUAUUAGGCUCAUGUGACAUGGAUCCAAUGAAAUAAUUAUAAUUUUACUGGAUGUAACAGCUCUUUGAUCUCCCAUCCAUAUGUUAACCGCAUCUGGAUAUUUUCCAAAAGCCUCAGUAGCCCACGGUACAUCUAAUUCGGCAUCUGCCCAUAAUUCUGUGAAGUCUUUUAUGAAAUUAGAGUCUUGCUUUUGGAUGUAAUGAACAUUUUGUUCUUCGGAGUUUUCCAAUGUAUUCAAAAACGUUGACAUCGGAAUAAGUCGUUCCUCUGGCAUGACAAAAUAGUUUUCAAAAGUGGCACCAUCUUUGGAUGCCUUUGCUGCAAUGGCAUCUGCAUAGCCAUUAGGAGUGACAGCAACUGUUACAAUUUUAUCACCAAGUUUUCGACGAAAGUAAGAUGUAUUCCAUUUGUUUACAGCUGGCCAAUGUUUUGUUCCACCUCUGAUAACCAAUGGAAGGUUCUUUGAUACAUAUUCUCUAUAAAAAGCCAAUGGAGAUAUAGAAUCUUCCACCUCAGAAAUAUGGUCCGUCAAA